RNAcentral lists this ribosomal RNA (465 nucleotides) under uncultured bacterium. Its description in RNAcentral is "partial 16S ribosomal RNA". It matches the Rfam family "Bacterial small subunit ribosomal RNA", at positions 338 to 795 of the family's 1533-position model. The record is from RNAcentral.
CCUACGGGAGGCAGCAGUAGGGAAUCUUCCACAAUGGGCGAAAGCCUGAUGGAGCAACGCCGCGUGGGUGAAGAAGGUCUUCGGAUCGUAAAACUCUGUUGUUAGAGAAGAAAGUGCGUGAGAGUAACUGUUCACGUUUCGACGGUAUCUAACCAGAAAGCACCGGCUAACUACGUGCCAGCAGCCGCGGUAAUACGUAGGUGGCAAGCGUUAUCCGGAUUUAUUGGGCGUAAAGGGAACGCAGGCGGUCUUUUAAGUCUCAUGUGAAAGCCUUCGGCUUAACCGGAGUAGUGCAUUGGAAACUGGGAGACUUGAGUGCAGAAGAGGAGAGUGGAACUCCAUGUGUAGCGGUGAAAUGCGUAGAUAUAUGGAAGAACACCAGUGGCGAAGGCGGCUCUCUGGUCUGUAACUGACGCUGAGGUUCGAAAGCGUGGGUAGCAAACAGGAUUAGAUACCCUUGUAGUC